Zea mays is the source of this 1033-nucleotide long non-coding RNA. RefSeq lists it as uncharacterized. NCBI's taxonomy places the organism in Eukaryota, Viridiplantae, Streptophyta, Magnoliopsida, Poales, Poaceae. The transcript has 3 exons. The record is from RefSeq and is a predicted model, not a curated record.
GAGCUACACCUAAGGCUUUGUUCGGUUGUUCCGUUCCCGGUCGAGGUGCGGUGGCAAACCUCGUGGAUCAGCCCGCAUGGAAACAAGCCCGGUCCAUGCGGGAACAUCUAUUCGUUUAGCCCUAGGUUUCUACCCCGGUCCAAUCCCAGUGAAAUCCCUUCACCCUGCCCCGGUAUUCGACCCACGACUCCUGACUCGUGGAAUUUUUCCUCGUCAGUCGCAGGCCUGCAGCAGGUGGGGAGGCGAGACACGAGCGCCAGGCGACGUAACCGCCGGUUACGUCGCCUGGCGCUCGUGUCUCGCCUCCCCACCUGUUGCGGCGGUUACGUCGCCUGGCGCUCGUGUCUCGCCUCCCCACCUGCUGCGGGCCUGCGACUAACGAGGACAAAUUCCACGAGUCAGGAGUCGUGGGUCGAAUACCGGGGCAGGGUGAAGGGUUUCACUGGGAUUGGACCGAGGUAGAAACCUACGAGAGCUAAACGAAUAGAUGUUUCCGCAUGGACCGGGCUUGUUUCCAUGCGGGCUGAUCCACGAGGUUUGCCACUACACUCUGGCCGUGAAUGGAACAACCAAACAAAGCCUAAAGGGGUUCUCACUGCGAUGGGUGUACCAUUGAUCACGAUUUAUCAUGUGAAGAGUCAUUUGCAGAAAUAUCGCCUUGCAAGUUGCAAAGUAUAUACCGGAGUCUCCCGCUGAAGUCAUGUCAUGUAGCAUAGCCGGUAUGCUAGCUGGUGCCUGGUCCUUAUGAAUUACACAGUUGACAAAAUAUUCUGAAAUGUGCUCUGAGGAUUGCAAAUCAACGAUGCACUAAAGAUGCAAAUGAUAUUAUGCUAUGGGAGCUGGCUGGUGCCAACGGGCUGUCGCUGCCAGAUGUUGCUGCCUAAGUGCUACUGUGUUUCAUGUGUGUUUGUAUGUUUGGGACUGUUUGUUUGUUUAUGUUUCUCUCCUCUUGUAAACCCUCUGUAAUUCUUAUGUGGCCUCUUGGCUAUGUCUUUUGUGUUUUUGCUUCUCUUAUUAAUACAAAAAUAUGCAA